UACCAACGAUAAGUAGAAGCAGAUCAGGUCUCAUCCACACCAGAGACACGGAAACUAGAGCUUCACUACACUAGAGGGCUCACACAGAGAGAAGAUUCUCAGAGGGAUCACGGUGACGACGUCAGAGAUGAGUCUCUUCAAGGAAAGCUCUAAAGAUCCAGAGAAUCAAGGAAUCAAGAUGGCCCACUGCACUGGAGUAGUGCUACUAAUUUUCCACUAUUAAUUGCACGCAUACCACUACAACUGGCUGAGAACUGAAGUUUCCAACAUGUGAUGUCUCUGUGAUGCAAGCCAUCUGAUUCGCUGGUCAUGCUGGUCAUUAAGAGGGAUGUUAGCCUGCGUUUCUGUGUGGACUGCAGAUCAACAGUGGUGUCAUUAUGAUGGAUUCCAGCUCACCGCCUCACAGGGACAAUGCUCUUUACACCACAACCAUCUCUUUUUUAUAAUCCCACUCUCUGAUGUCACCCAGAUGAUGACAGCUUCCCUUUUGAGUCUGGAUCGUCUCGAGGUUUUUUCCUCAUGUCGUCUCAGAGAGUUUUUCCUCACUAUCAUCAUCUCUGGAUUGAUUUAAAAUCUAUCAUUUAUUGAAUUUGUAUGUUCCUGUACAGCUGAUUCACAAC
Hemibagrus wyckioides is the source of this 620-nucleotide long non-coding RNA. RefSeq lists it as uncharacterized. The transcript has 4 exons. The record is from RefSeq and is a predicted model, not a curated record. NCBI's taxonomy places the organism in Eukaryota, Metazoa, Chordata, Actinopteri, Siluriformes, Bagridae.